RNAcentral lists this long non-coding RNA (1171 nucleotides) under Homo sapiens (human). RNAcentral describes it as "NPAS2 antisense RNA 1". Lineage: Eukaryota; Metazoa; Chordata; Mammalia; Primates; Hominidae. The record is from RNAcentral.
UGGUUUUUUUUUUUUUUAAAGAACAGUGAAAGGACUCGUCUGAAGUUAUUCCGACACGGCCCCUAGUUGCUAGGGCCUAUAUAAAAAAGCAGCUCAAAUGGAAAGUGUCACCCAGGACAGCAUUGGGAGGAAAUGACACCAGGAGACCUUGUUUCAGUGAGAAAUCCCAGGCACAGGGCUGAUCCAGAAGCUGGUCUGGGUUCUGUUUCCCUGCGCAGCUGGGAGGAGACAGAAGCACUCUGGGCCUCCGUUGUUGGCAAAGUGAGUCACACUGGACAGGAGAGUCUGGAAGAAUGGCAGGCACAGCUUGCAAGCGCAUCUGGAGGUGGCUGGAGAGAAAUAAAACGGAUUCUCUGGGGAGACGCAGCACAUCGCCUGGCUCUGCAGCCCCCACCACAUUGUAGCGUACACCCGUGGAGGAGUUUGGGGUCACACACUUACCGGCAUGGUGGCUGCCUGGCUGAGCCCGGGGACAGCAUGUACUCAUCCGAAGAGGGGACCCAUGACCGUGGUGUGCACAGUACAAGAGCUCGCUUGGGAUCUCUGAUAAAGGAAGUCCACCAUGCAGGGUUGAGCUGAACCACAGAAGCCCAGCCUGGGAGCAGGGGUGAGAGAUGCUUCUGUUGGACCACAGACAGCCUGAAAGACUGGACCAUUGCUGUGGCACCAGCCUCUGGCCCAAGGCUCUGGAUUCGCAGUCACUGGGCACCCUGGAAGUUGAGCUUCACCAGUUCUAAGAGAAUGGACUCCGAGGAACAGGGCUCUGGUCUACUUGCAGAUGAUCCCCAAGGUUCCCUGAAGCUGUGUGAUGGACCAGGACCAGGGACAAAGAGACGUCUGGCUAGGCAGAGGGAUGGGCGUACCUUUAGUGCUGAGGAGUGGAGGGCCUCGGAUGGCGGGUCUUCCAGAGCCAGCUCCUGCCUCCUUUCCACCCGGACAUCUGCGUAACUGUACAGGAAAUUAAGAGACCACAGUGGAGAUGGGGCAUUCCAGGAAGGGAUGACACCACCUGAACAGACAGCAAGGUACAUCGAGGUUCUCUACGUAACCCCUGCCCCCCACAACAGUCAACACAGAGGAGCCUAGCCUGUGACUUGUUGGAAGGAAUGAGCGUCGUUCUCUGCCUUAAAUUCGACCUGAGUGACUUAUAAUAUUACAUUCAAAAUCUUUU